AUUGAACGCUGGCGGCAUGCCUUACACAUGCAAGUCGAACGGCAGCACGGGUGCUUGCACCUGGUGGCGAGUGGCGAACGGGUGAGUAAUACAUCGGAACAUGUCCUGUAGUGGGGGAUAGCCCGGCGAAAGCCGGAUUAAUACCGCAUACGAUCUACGGAUGAAAGCGGGGGACCUUCGGGCCUCGCGCUAUAGGGUUGGCCAAUGGCUGAUUAGCUAGUUGGUGGGGUAAAGGCCUACCAAGGCGACGAUCAGUAGCUGGUCUGAGAGGACGACCAGCCACACUGGGACUGAGACACGGCCCAGACUCCUACGGGAGGCAGCAGUGGGGAAUUUUGGACAAAGGGCGAAAGCCUGAUCCAGCAAUGCCGCGUGUGUGAAGAAGGCCUUCGGGUUGUAAAGCACUUUUGUCCGGAAAGAAAUCCUUGGCCCUAAUACGGUCGGGGGAUGACGGUACCGGAAGAAUAAGCACCGGCUAACUACGUG
This 486-nucleotide ribosomal RNA is filed under the name uncultured bacterium. Its description in RNAcentral is "partial 16S ribosomal RNA". It matches the Rfam family "Bacterial small subunit ribosomal RNA", at positions 30 to 507 of the family's 1533-position model. The record is from RNAcentral.